This is a long non-coding RNA of Clupea harengus (Atlantic herring), 1988 nucleotides long. RefSeq lists it as uncharacterized. The record is from RefSeq and is a predicted model, not a curated record. NCBI's taxonomy places the organism in Eukaryota, Metazoa, Chordata, Actinopteri, Clupeiformes, Clupeidae. The transcript is spliced from 3 exons.
AUUUAGCUUCAUGUUUGUAGUCAAUUAACAACUCGAUUCAGCAUCUUCCAGUCUUCUCUUCUUUAGCACUGUUGACUGGGAUCCUGCCAUUGAGGGCUUUCACGGCCUCCUUUCUGUCUGUCCAGCAUUCCCAUGCGAGUUGGCUAGCAGCCGUGUCCACAGUCCCCUCAGUCUCUCUCUCUCUCUCUCCCUCUUUCUCUCUCUCUCUCUCUUUUUGGUCCUCAUGUGGUGUUUAGCCCUUCACUCUCCUUCACUGCCUCUGUCUCACUGUGUAUUCUUUAGAAUAGCAAGCUGCUGUAGUCACUCCUUCCUGUAGUCCCGAGCAAACAAAGAGUGGGGUUCAGGUGUUCCCAAAAUGAGCCUUGUGUCCUUACACACAUGGGGUAGAGUGUUUUCAGACCCCACAAGGUCAAAUGUUUUCUGUAGUCAUUUUUUUCCCUCUCGUUUCAAGGGGGGGGGAGGAUAUGGUCUGGAUUUCCCUCUCCACUUUGUCCCAGAUAGAUUAUUUUCCUGUGUGUUUCUAGAGCUUUUUCAAUCAUUGCCAUUUUAAGUAUAGUACGAGUAUUUAACAGUCUCAAGGCAUGACGUGCCGUCUUUGUUCUCCACUAAACUUAGAAAGUACUAUUUUUCACAUACUUCUCUUUCUCUCUCUCUCUGUCCCAUUCUCUCUCUCUCUUUCUCUCUCUCUGGUUUGCCAUGUCUGUCUGUCUAAUUUCUUGUAUUAUUUGUUAUUUCUGCCUUUCAGGAACCUCCUGUGCUUCCAAUGGGCCAGUUCACCGAGAAGUUCAUCCACUUCAUCACACAAUGUAUGAAGAAGCUGCCCAAAGAACGCCCUGCACCAAACAAUCUAAUGGACCAUUCCUUCAUCCAACUGUUUGACGACGGGAACAUGGAGGUGGUGUCCAUGUGGGUGUGCUGCUGUCUGGAGGAGCGCAGGGCCCAGCAGGCCCCGGUCCACAUGUCCUAAGGAGCCCUGGCAUGGUCCUGCAGAAUUGUGGGAAGGAUUUGAUCCCUAGGUCCUGGAUCCCCAAGAUGCAGAGGAGCAAACCAGAAAUCACUUCACACUUCCCUUCCCAUCAAGCCAAGGCCAUUCGCCAUUAUUUUUUUUCUUCCUUCUUAUGAACUGCAUAUGUCCUAUCUUUGGGCUUUCCAGAAAAAUCGUAUUUCCUCUUGGCAUGACUGACGCUGUGUGAUGGACUUCACUUCCAACUCAACUCUUUGUCUUUGCCUGUUGCACUGAGCACCUGUGACUUGGCCGAGUAGGAAACUGACUUUAGUGUGAUUGUAAUCACACUAAAUAGUGUGCUCUUUUUUAUUUGUUGUUGUCAAUACUAACAUGUUUGUGGAACGUGUAAGAGUAUGCAGUUGACCCUGAGGUCUUAAACAGAUGGAACCAUGUGAAGAUGAAUGGCUGUACAUUUUUUUGGAGGAAAGUGCUUUUUCAGGUCGACUCCAGACGCUUGACCAUGCUUUAUCGUUGGCAGCUUUAUCGUGAGUGUUAACGUGUGCCUGUAUGCCCGUGCAGCGGCAGUCCUUUGCCCGUGCCUGAUCUCUCUGUCUGUAGCCCCCUCUCUCUCUCUCUCUUGAGCCCAGUGCUGCCUGUUCACUCCGCCAUGCGUGGAAAACGUUGAGGGAACAACUGUCUCUGACCGCAGUGCCGGCCGCGUCGUCCUCACACCACACAACCUCCACUCCCCUCCUCACCCCACUGCAGCUUGGACAAGAGCACAGACCAGCCUUGACUCUCCAGCGCGGGACACCGAAGGCUGAAGUGCCACCCGUCUCCCACUCUCGUUUCGGCAGAUACAGCCAAUGAGGUUUUGGUGGGAAGAUUCAGGAGGGCUUUUGGACUGCUUCACCUCCUGAGGACGUUUGUGCUGCUCAGAUAGUCCUGGGAUCAGAUGAGACUUUGAGAGAGUGGGUGAAUGUGAAAGGAAAGGCUGAAUUUUGUGUGUGUGUGUGUGUGUGUGUGUGUGUGUGUGUGUGUG